Asparagus officinalis (garden asparagus) is the source of this 947-nucleotide long non-coding RNA. RefSeq lists it as uncharacterized. NCBI's taxonomy places the organism in Eukaryota, Viridiplantae, Streptophyta, Magnoliopsida, Asparagales, Asparagaceae. The transcript is spliced from 2 exons. The record is from RefSeq and is a predicted model, not a curated record.
CAGAAAAGUAUGUGAUAGUUUUGUGAUAAUACCUCAAAAGAGUCCAUGGUAGUCACUGAGGACGACAUAACUCAUAUGUUUUAGUGAUUUUAUUUUAUCUGAAGAUUCAUGGUAAUUUGGUAAAACGUAAAUAAAAGUUCAUGGUAUUUAAUUCAUUGGUUGUCUUUAGAUAGCAUAUGGUAACAUUUUUCUGGUAUGAAAGUUUUUGUAUUUUUCUUGAAUAAAAUAGUUUACGAUAUUUUUGGGGGAGACCCCUUCUAAUUCUUGUUAGUUAUGUGAAAUUUACCUCAAAGUUGACAUGUAAAUAAAUCACUGGGCCUUAUUUAGUCUCUAGAUGCUAUUUACACAAUGACGUGGAAUUCUGAAAACACAAACACUAAUUUGAUGUUUUUGUCCUAUUUAUCACAGUAUGGCAUUGUGUUUGUAGAAGUUAAAUCCUGGAAAAAUAUGACGGGAAACUCAGUACUUCUUAUUUUCGCUGAGGUUUUCUUGAUUGUGGAUAGACCCCUGUAGUUCUAUUGUUAAAAAUAGAUCAUUUGAGUGAACUAUUUUCUUCGACCAAUAUUUAGCUUAAAUCAAUCCAGAAUUGGCCUAGCCAUCAUCUGUUCAUAUAACUAAACCUAUUUAGUAACUAAACUGGUUUAUCGCCGCUUUGUCCGAAUAAUGUUUAAGUCACUUAAAAAAGACCCCCUUCGCUCAUUUCAUCACGCUUCUGGUACAGAAAUGAUGAAAGCCAAGAUUGAGAUUGAUACUGACAGGUUCCUAGUGAGUAUUUGACAUUGAGGAACAAGUUUUUGGAAACAAAUAGAGAAUAUAGUCUUUGACCGAGAAGUUUCAUGUUUUGUAAUCAAAUGUUGAUGUACAUUGUUUGAAUGUUAGUUCGGUACGAUAUUUUCUGAGUUGAAAUGUUGGUAGUAUGGAUUUAAUACUUUGUAGUUUUUAUAUUA